Molecule: unclassified non-coding RNA, 148 nt
Organism: Macaca mulatta (Rhesus monkey)
Lineage: Eukaryota; Metazoa; Chordata; Mammalia; Primates; Cercopithecidae
Rfam family: Metazoan signal recognition particle RNA
About the family: The signal recognition particle (SRP) is a universally conserved ribonucleoprotein. It is involved in the co-translational targeting of proteins to membranes.
Source: Ensembl
GCUGGGCAUGGUGGCGGAUGCCUGUAAUCCCAGCUACUUGGGAGGCUGAGGCAGGAUAAUCACUUGAACCCGGGAGGCAGAGGUUGCAGUGAGCCAAGAUCGCACCACUGCACUCUAGCAUGGGCUACAGAGUGAGACUCUGUCUCAA